AUUGAACGCUGGCGGCAGGCCUAACACAUGCAAGUCGAGCGAGCGGCGGACGGGUGAGUAAUGUCUGGGAAACUGCCCGAUAGAGGGGGAUAACUACUGGAAACGGUAGCUAAUACCGCAUACUAUCGGAUGAACCCAUAUGGGAUUAGCUAGUUGGUGGGGUAAAGGCUCACCAAGGCGACGAUCCCUAGCUGGUCUGAGAGGAUGAUCAGCCACACUGGGACGGAUACACGGUCCAGACUCCUACGGGAGGCAGCAGUGGGGAAUAUUGCACAAUGGGCGCAAGCCUGAUGCAGCCAUGCCGCGUGUAUGAAGAAGGCCUUAGGGUUGUAAAGUACUUUCAGCGGGGAGGCGUUACCCGCAGAAGAAGCACCGGCUAACUCCGUGCCAGCAGCCGCGGUAAUUC
This 406-nucleotide ribosomal RNA is filed under the name uncultured bacterium. RNAcentral describes it as "partial 16S ribosomal RNA". It matches the Rfam family "Bacterial small subunit ribosomal RNA", at positions 30 to 526 of the family's 1533-position model. The record is from RNAcentral.